Long non-coding RNA from Uranotaenia lowii, 569 nucleotides. RefSeq lists it as uncharacterized. The record is from RefSeq and is a predicted model, not a curated record. The transcript has 3 exons. Lineage: Eukaryota; Metazoa; Arthropoda; Insecta; Diptera; Culicidae.
UUUGUGCGUGAGCGUGUAGUUCUGCAGCAGCAGCGGAGAAAAAAAAACGUGCGAAAAUUUUGAAAACAACGCGACUAUGUGCCAGCAAAAUCCAUGGAUGAGAAAUUCUUCCGGUAGUUCCGGCAUCGCAAGGACAAGACCUGCAGCUGAAGAAGGAUCUUGUUGUUCCUCCACCGCUGGAGGAAAACAUCAGAAAAAUGAAGACUACCUAAUGUCCGCAUCCGCCAGUUACGAGACGAGGAAGUUAGCUGGACUGAAACGAAAAAGUCAGCGGUCUCCAACAAUAAACGCUUUUUUAUGGUCCCACUGGAAGCAACCUCGGAAAAAUCCCCACAACACACAGACUUAUUAGAUGAAGGCAACCGAAUCCAAGAAUCAUCAAAAGAAGAUGAUUCAUUCAUUAACCAUCAAACGAAUCCCGCUGACUUCACGUUUCAGGUUUCCCAACGGAUCAGAGCGACUAUUUGAUCAAAAAGUUUUUCCGUCUGGAUUAGCCGAAUUGCCCGAUGAUGGUUGAGGAAAAAUACGAAAAAUGUGUGUUGUGAUUGAAUAAAUAUGAAUAAAAUAUA